RNAcentral lists this ribosomal RNA (1490 nucleotides) under Chryseobacterium sp. FH2. Its description in RNAcentral is "bacterial SSU rRNA". It matches the Rfam family "Bacterial small subunit ribosomal RNA". Lineage: Bacteria; Pseudomonadati; Bacteroidota; Flavobacteriia; Flavobacteriales; Weeksellaceae. The record is from RNAcentral.
AUGAACGCUAGCGGGAGGCCUAACACAUGCAAGCCGAGCGGUAUUUGUUCUUCGGGACAGAGAGAGCGGCGUACGGGUGCGGAACACGUGUGCAACCUGCCUUUAUCAGGGGGAUAGCCUUUCGAAAGGAAGAUUAAUACCCCAUAAUAUUUAGAAUGGCAUCAUUUUAAAUUGAAAACUCCGGUGGAUAAAGAUGGGCACGCGCAAGAUUAGAUAGUUGGUGAGGUAACGGCUCACCAAGUCAGUGAUCUUUAGGGGGCCUGAGAGGGUGAUCCCCCACACUGGUACUGAGACACGGACCAGACUCCUACGGGAGGCAGCAGUGAGGAAUAUUGGACAAUGGGUUAGCGCCUGAUCCAGCCAUCCCGCGUGAAGGACGACGGCCCUAUGGGUUGUAAACUUCUUUUGUACAGGGAUAAACCUACUCUCGUGAGAGUAGCUGAAGGUACUGUACGAAUAAGCACCGGCUAACUCCGUGCCAGCAGCCGCGGUAAUACGGAGGGUGCAAGCGUUAUCCGGAUUUAUUGGGUUUAAAGGGUCCGUAGGCGGGCCUGUAAGUCAGUGGUGAAAUCUCAUAGCUUAACUAUGAAACUGCCAUUGAUACUGCAGGUCUUGAGUAAGGUAGAAGUAGCUGGAAUAAGUAGUGUAGCGGUGAAAUGCAUAGAUAUUACUUAGAACACCAAUUGCGAAGGCAGGUUACUAUGUCUUAACUGACGCUGAUGGACGAAAGCGUGGGGAGCGAACAGGAUUAGAUACCCUGGUAGUCCACGCCGUAAACGAUGCUAACUCGUUUUUGGGUUUUCGGAUUCAGAGACUAAGCGAAAGUGAUAAGUUAGCCACCUGGGGAGUACGUUCGCAAGAAUGAAACUCAAAGGAAUUGACGGGGGCCCGCACAAGCGGUGGAUUAUGUGGUUUAAUUCGAUGAUACGCGAGGAACCUUACCAAGGCUUAAAUGGGAAUUGACAGGCUUAGAAAUAGGCUUUUCUUCGGACAAUUUUCAAGGUGCUGCAUGGUUGUCGUCAGCUCGUGCCGUGAGGUGUUAGGUUAAGUCCUGCAACGAGCGCAACCCCUGUCACUAGUUGCCAUCAUUAAGUUGGGGACUCUAGUGAGACUGCCUACGCAAGUAGAGAGGAAGGUGGGGAUGACGUCAAAUCAUCACGGCCCUUACGCCUUGGGCCACACACGUAAUACAAUGGCCGGUACAGAGGGCAGCUACCUAGCGAUAGGAUGCAAAUCUCGAAAGCCGGUCUCAGUUCGGAUUGGAGUCUGCAACUCGACUCUAUGAAGCUGGAAUCGCUAGUAAUCGCGCAUCAGCCAUGGCGCGGUGAAUACGUUCCCGGGCCUUGUACACACCGCCCGUCAAGCCAUGGAAGUCUGGGGUACCUGAAGUCGGUGACCGUAACAGGAGCUGCCUAGGGUAAAACAGGUAACUAGGGCUAAGUCGUAACAAGGUAGCCGUACCGGAAGGUGCGGCUGGAACAUCUCAUUUU